UUAGGCUAUCCAGAUCAGCAACUCUUCUCUCAAUUUUCCACGUCACUUCCUCCUCGUUGUGUGCUGCGGAAGUUAUAAGGGUGGAACUUUAAACCUCUCAACCUCCCAUGAUCUUGCAGUUACUCAUUCUUUAUUGCCCAUCCACAUUCCAAACUACUUACAGUAAUAAUGACUUCACUUGCAUAUUUAUCACUCCCUUUCAUUCUUCUUCACUCAUUUUCAUUCUUCUUCUUCUACAGCGAUUUCAAUCUUCCUCUCCAAUCUUCUUCUACAGCGGUUUCACAAAACCGUUUUUCUUUCAUCGGGCUUCUGAUUUCUUCUUCUUCUUCUUCUAUCUUUUUCAAGUUUGAUUUUGAUUUAGUUUUUAAAGUUUCAGGUUUCAUGGUGUUGUCUCAUGCGGAAAGGGAAAGAUCCAUGGCCGAUGCAAUUUCUGAUGAUGCGUAUGCAUCAGUGUUUGUUAUUACUUUGUAUGAUUUGUUAAAUUUUGUUUGGAUAAGCUGUGACCUGAUUUUGCUGUGGGUUUAUGCAGGUUCGAUGAUGAAGCACAAGUUUGCUUGGCCUUUAAAAAGAAAGGAUGGCAAUGAGAGAGAUUUAUCGGUUCUUUGUAGUAUUUUGAUUUUGUUUAUGCUUUGAAUUUCAGGUGACGGUUCAUUUCGAUUUGGGUUUCUCCGAUUACGCUAACGGUUCAUAGGCGCACCUAUUUCUACGCAGAUUUUGAUUUUUUUCUUCUAAUUUUCUACUCGCUUGCUUAAUGCAGUGUAUUUGAAGCUGAAAAGCCAGGAUGUAGAUUUUCUAUACAGCAGAGACUUGGAACAUACUUCUUCAAGGUAAUGAAUGUACGGUCAUUUCUUUGGUAAGCCAAAUUAUGUGAGGUUUCGUUAUUUUGAUCGAUGUUGUUAAAUAGCCACUAUAGCAGCGCUACAUCGUUAAGCAUAAUGUAAUCAUGCUUACUGAUUAAUGUAUAUUAAAAAUAAUUUUGAUCAUAUGUUACAUUUUCUUCUCAUAUUUUGAUGUUGGCGUCACGUUAUGUGUGAUGCUUCGUCGGUAUGUCCAGCUUUGAUCCGUGAUAUGGUGUGAAUUAGCUGUAUUUUGUGCGAAACCUGAAAUCGUAUACGGCACAGAGUUAGAGCAAGUGUAUAUGUAUGGUAAUCAUAAUAUAUAUUUUUUUAUCUUACACACUAUGUUAUCCUAUACGGCAUAGAGCCAGCGCAGAAGGUGAAAAAAAGCCACUGAAGGUGAAAAAACGGAUCAGGAAACUGAAUGUUAUCUUUGAGAAGUUUAGUGAUGUUAAGAUUCAUGUUUCCAUGCUCAGUACAUAGACUUCAAAAUGGGAGCUGAGUCAGGAUUCAUUCGAUUUGACGUACCUGAAGCUGCUCAGAAAGCACGUUUUGAUGGCUCAAUGAUUGUUUUGAACUGUUAGAUUCAAUUCAUACACACAACAACAUCGUGCUCACAUCGUCUGCACGCGAUUACUUCAACCGCAUCUUGCAGGACAUCUCCGGCAUGAAGGUUCUCAUACUUGAUUCUCAAACGGUAAGUAUUGUGAGUAUUGUGUACUCACAGUCAGAACUUCUUCAGAAAUAAUACCAAAAUUUGUAAGCAAUUACUCACUACCUUCUUAUGAAUAUCUACACUCAUAAUUAAUUCUAACACUAUUAAUAAAAAACUUAUGUUUAUUUUUUCUUUCAAGGGCUCAUAAUCAUGGUGCGGGUCUACAAUGAAAAUUUUAACCUAAAAGCAUGACUACGCCAUUUUGCCAUUUUGUUAGGUGUACAUGUAUCAAUGAUUGGUAGGAGAAGGGUUUCAAUUGCUCACUGGAGGCCAAUGGGGGAUUUUUAGGAGUUUUAGAAAAUGUGUUUUAUUUGUUUAUAUAAUAUGAUUUUUAUAUUUUGUUAAUGCUCUUCCAUGUUUUAGCUGGCUAAUUCUGUUCAUGUUUUUCCUUUCAUUUAUUUAUGAUUCUGCAGAAUGUUAACAAUAGAGAGACUUUGGAGUCACAUCCAAGACCUGGCACCCAAGGACGUGGGGUUAGAGGUGGUCGGGGAAAUUUUACAAAUAAACACAUAGUGCACGAUGCUCGAGGUGGCAAGAGUUCUGUACCAAGCAAAGAUAACAGGUCCAACGAAGAAACUGCAAAGGGUGUGCCUCCUUUGCCAGGUUCAUAAGAGUCAAAAUCUAGAGAAAAAAGUUCUGGAACAAGCUCUGUUCCAGCUAUUGCCAAUGGGCCUACAACUGUAUCAUCUGGAACUACUAAUGUGAAUUCAUCCCCUUCAUCUACUGGAAAUGUGGAUAGGAUUAGUCCAUCGGAUGGCGGUAAUAUUACGAUUUGUCAUCCAGAAUGCCCCUGUAAAAACCAGGGUUAUGUGAAUUUUGUUUUUCUUUAUCUAAGUCCAGUUAGAAUUUAUUUUAUAUGCUACCCUCAUGCUAAAUAUAUCUUGGCGGGUUGAGGAACUGUAUUCACUCGACCACGACUCUCUCAAUAGUGCAUAGCAUGAAGUAGUCAGGUCAAAAACAGUUUGUGGCAUCGGAAACAGUUUAGUUUUUGGUUGAUGGUACAAAAGCAGGAUCGUUGAAUAGCUAUGGACCUCUAUCUUUUCUAAAGGUGAAAAAGAGAAGAGAGGUGCUUGAAGAUAAACUUGAAAAACAAGACACUAGAGCUAUAUAUUCUGUCAAUAGACAAUACUCUAUUCCAAAUUGCAUUGAUAUCUUGAGAGGCAGCAUAAUAUCGUUUCCAAGAGUAUGGUAUGAGCAACACCUAUGAUUAGGAGACGAAACAGAAAUCCAGGAACUUGAGAAGGCUUUAAAAACGAUUAUCUUUAUAUGCAUGAACUUGACAAGGAUUUACAAAGAGAGGUACUUGAUUGCACAUCUCAAAAGCUCACUCUGGCUGCACAUUGAGUUCAUGAUGAAACAACUAAUAAUGGUGAAGCAAAUGUUGAUGAUGAUGAUGAUGAUGAUGAGAUGAGUAAACUUUUGUUGUCACGUAAAAAGAGGAAGCCAACUACUGUCACUACUUAUUCAUCCAAAUGAAAAAGUCGAUUCAGAUUACAAAGCCUUCCCUCUAUUAUGAAAAAGUCGAUUCAGAUUACAAAGCCUUCCCUCUAUUUCAAAACUUAAUCGAACUUCGACUACUAUGCUCUCAUAAUGGCAUUCAUGACUGGAGUGAAGUACUAAAACUGCUCCGGAAUUGUCCCAAAAUAAAAUCUCUAUACAUUAAUAAGGUUUAUUUGUCACGCUGAUGGUUUAUGUUUGUUCUUCUAUUCAACUAUUUUUACAAAUAAUUUUUUGACAGGGAGUUUGUUCAUCAAACACCACAGAGGACUGAAACAGCCAAGCCAUGUUCAUGAAUGUGUUUCUUCUCAUCUAACAACUAAGGGUGAUACUCUUUUUUCUCUACAUGUUAUGAAGAAAACCAUCUUAUUAUGCAUUCUCAUUUUUCUCUUUUAGUCGAGGAAAACCAUUUUAUUAUUAGUGGUUGGAUGUUUCACGGUUUCUGUGUUGUUGCAGACGUUUCCAAUAGUAUUGUCAUUUUGUUUUAAUAAUUACUCUAAUAACUGUCCUUGAGGAAGUUACUUACUGUUAUCAUAACAGUCUCUUGGGAAGUUAAUACUAGCUGUAACUUCUAUGAUCCAUCAAGGCAUAUUUCAUACAUGUAACAGCAAAAAUUGACAUAUCUAAGGAAGGCACACUGCAAUAAGAGGGAAGGGAGACAGGUUUACUACCACAAUGAUCCCGUCAAUGGGUUGGUGGAGAGACUGUUAUCUUUGAUUUAGGAUCAGGGGUAAGCUGAGGCGUUGGACAAGAUCAUAUUAAUGUGGUGCUGAGUUGCUAUACAGCGUUAGCAGGAAUAAAUUAACAUCGUCGACAAAGCUGCCGAUCUCAAGACCACUGAUUGUGAACUUUGAUACACGCUGCGAAAACAUGAGAGAUUGUCUCAAAGAAAUGAAUACUGAUGGUACCACUGAUAUGAAUCGAGAGGAUAACAACAUCGAUACCGACAUCGGAGGUGAUGUAUAGCAAUGAAAACCAUGAGAUGGCCAAGACCUUGCUAAACAAAUUCGAGGAGAAAAUUAUAUGCUAAUUUUACUCUUAUUUGUUUCAUGUAACUUUGAUAAUGUGGACAUAUUUCCCGAAACUUUAGCAGGUGACGAAACUAGGUAAAGACAUGUCAAGGUCACAGGAAGCAUGGUUGGAUGAUGAGAUUGUUCAAAUAGAUGUCAAGGUUACCAAUGCUGCAGCCAAGAAGAAGUGAUUUCACACAAUGGUUCUUCUGCACAAGUUGUUCCUUUAUUAUCUUUUCAGAGUCUUAGUCUGUUUUUCCAUUUUGUUUGAUUUUCCUGGUACUAUUUUUUGGUGUUAAUUUAUGUUUCAGAACUACAUUUCGUUAUUAUUGUGAUUCAAAAUAUUUAUUUAUGUUGUUUUAUUGACUUAGCAGGGUUUAGUGCUUGCAGGCUAUUUUUUGACGACUGUCCAUGAUAGUGCUUGCAUUGCAUGCUAUUGAACUUGCAUGAUAGUGCUUGCAUUGCAUGCGAUUGAACUUGCAUGAUAGACUUCUCAUGCUAUUGAACUUUCAUGAUAGUGCUUGCAAAGUUAAUUAGUUCUUAUGACUUGACAAUUAAAAAUCAUGUCCACUAAAAUGUAUAAUCACGCAUAAUUCUUAGGUUACAUACACAUCUCAAUCUUUAAAAAAUAGGAAACAUUAUUAUUCUCUAUGGUGCAACAAGGGGCUUUUGCACUGCUUAAGAUAUGGCAAAGCGCUACAGUUGAUUCAAUUGUAUAGAUUGUAACAGUUAUAAUUUAUUAUUUCUUAUGGUUAUUACUUAUUUACCGAAGAAUAUUCGGGAUGAGGUAUUAAGAUGUUCACAGAAUGAAAGUUCUCUUUCACAUGUACAAGUUAUUUUGGAUUAUGCUUCUCUAAUGUUGUAAAUAACUAGCAAAGUGAGAAAAAUUAAGUGUUGAUACUUCCAUCAUCCACCAAUGUGAUUUAACAUACA
Vicia villosa (hairy vetch) is the source of this 4991-nucleotide long non-coding RNA. RefSeq lists it as uncharacterized. Lineage: Eukaryota; Viridiplantae; Streptophyta; Magnoliopsida; Fabales; Fabaceae. The transcript is spliced from 8 exons. The record is from RefSeq and is a predicted model, not a curated record.